UGCGGUGAAGGAAAGCUUCCAUGGUUGACGAGAGAAGGAGGAACCGAAAGAGGAAGAUGAACAAGACAAAUUGAGAAAGAGUGAGGGUAGAGGAUUCGACGACAGAAAUGGUUGGGAUAGCCGAGGGGCAAUAGCAACCGUCGUGAAGCUGCCAGCCCAUGUUUCCGGUGAUGAAGAAAAAGGAGUCUCUAUUCACCUUUUAUGGUAUUUUCCUUAUUCUGACUUUUGUUUUUCUUUAUUCUAACCUAAGUUACCCAAGCAUCAUUAUAAUUUUUUUUUUAAAUUACCCAUUCAAAAAUAUCAUAAGUCAUAUGUGCCAC
Molecule: long non-coding RNA, 320 nt
Filed under: Vigna radiata
Lineage: Eukaryota; Viridiplantae; Streptophyta; Magnoliopsida; Fabales; Fabaceae
Description: long non-coding RNA (VRAD_LNC017369)
Source: RNAcentral